Molecule: transfer RNA, 76 nt
Filed under: Chloroflexota bacterium
Lineage: Bacteria; Bacillati; Chloroflexota
Also listed under: 1 other name
Description: tRNA-His
Rfam family: tRNA
About the family: Transfer RNA (tRNA) molecules are approximately 80 nucleotides in length.
Source: RNAcentral
GUGGGUGUAGUGUAGUGGUUAACACGUCUGGUUGUGGCCCAGAAGAUCGAGGGUUCGAGUCCCUCCAUCCACCCCA